This 2634-nucleotide long non-coding RNA is filed under the name Homo sapiens (human). RNAcentral's name for it is "HSALNT0309677". The record is from RNAcentral. Lineage: Eukaryota; Metazoa; Chordata; Mammalia; Primates; Hominidae.
UCAUGUGACCCACCCACCUCAGCCUCCCAAAGUGUUGGGAUUACAGGCAUGAGUCACCACGCCUGGCCUCCAAUGGACUAGUUUUGAAGGAAUCUCAGGAUUUGCAACCUGCUGGAAGGAAUUACUGGUGUCAUUAGAGGCCUCCCUGAAACCCCACGCAAUGACAGCAUGGCACACGCUGACCCCGGCUGAGCUCACAAUGGCAGUUGUUUUGGCUUGGCUUCUGUUUAGAUGGGAAGCAGCUCCCCAUGUCCCUUGGCUGAAGGUUUCUCCUAGAAGUUGACCAGGACCCCUGCAGGGGAUGAACAAAAGCUGACACCUCAUCACCCCAAUUCACACACAGUUAAGCCCCACUGAUCCUGGGAUACAAGUAGAUAAAGGGGGGAAAGGACUACUUUGUUUAACUUCCCAGUAUCCUCUGAUUGACUUAAUGAAAAAAUCCUGAUGUUAAGCUCCCAGAAAAGGGUUUUCAGUGCUGAACUUGAGCUGGGCAUACCACCUACAUCCUGUGUUCUGUGUUCACAAACACAGAACACAUUCGUGUCUCAUCUGUGCCUCAUUUGUCUUUCCCUGCCCUUACUUCCACGUGAGAGCAGCCACUUGUGAUCCUGUCCAUUUAAAACAAUAUGAUCACAGGCCUGGGGCUCCAGAUGCCGGACACAGAAAAGAAAAAGACGUGAUAAAUAACAUUUAAAGCACUGCAAAGUUUGAUUUUCAUGUCUAAUAUCUGCCCCUGGAGAUUCUGCUAAAUUUCUUUUUUCCCUCUUCAUAAAUUCUUAUGAUAACAACUUUAUUUGGGAAUUAAUCCAGAUUCCCAUUAUUCACUGAAUUACACUUUCCCAGCAUGUAAGUUCCUCCCUCGUUGUAAGUUACAAAGCCUUGGAAGCUACAUUAACUCUUUCUGGCUGCUGGGAUGACAGGUAUUGCUAGUCCUCAUGUUUCAGAAUUGUAUCUGAAAAGCAUUAAUGUAGUUUUAAAGGGUUUCCAAAUUAAAACCAGGAUGAAAAUUGACCACUGGGAGAAUCCUAUUUAUACUAUUAUAUUAUGGGGUGCUUUAAAUACACUUCCCUCCAGCCUACUGCCAUUGGCUCUAAUAUAUAGAACGGGCAUGUAUACAGAACGGGCAUCCCUCUUGCAGUAGCAUUGUGGAAGAAUUAAGCACCCACACUCUGAGGUCAAACUGUCCUGGUUGAAAUCUUGACUCCAUCUCUCACUAGCUGUGUGACCUCAGGUAAGUUACCUAACCCCUCUGAGCCUUGGUUUCCUCAUUUGUAAAGUGGAGAAAACAGCACUCACUUGAUGGGGCUGCCAUAAGGAUGAAGUAAUAUGGUGCAAGAGGAGCUGAGACUGCUGCUUGGCAAACAGUGGACAUUUGCUGAGAGCUUGCUGUGCACCAGGCACUGUUCUAACUACUUUACAUGUAUUAAUUCAUUGAACUCGCUCAACAACUUGGAGGUUGGACAUCAUUAUCCCUACUGCAGGCAGUGACCACUCUACAAAUGUUGGUUGCCAUCCGCUGAUCUUGACGCCUACGACGGAUUCGCCUGGUAACUCCAUCCACACUUAAGUUGGGAAAGCACUCCGCCCUGCCUCUAAGUCCGGGGACUCUGGGCAGGGUCCAUUACAUGACCUGGGUCUAAGCCAAUCAGAGCAUCUCACUACCGUCUCCACAGUGAUUGGUCCACGUGGGCACAUGACACUGCCGGGGCUGGGACUCCCCAAAAAGAGAGUCUCCCUUCUUCCUGCUGGACUAGCCUGAGACGAUGCGAGGCUAUCGCUGCCGCAGUACCGGGCGGAGGGCCUGUCUGAGAGGGAGCCAACCUCGAGGAAACUGGGUCAACAAUGGACAACGAGACACCAGCUGUGUGACUUCACGUGAGCCCACGCAGGAAGCCUGCCUGCAGCCGGGACCCUAUCUUGGCCCAUAGCAUCGGGGCUUCUCAGGGAAGCACUGGGGUGUAAGCUUCAGCCCCAAAAUGCAUCCCCACCCUUGUCCCCCUCCAGGCAGAGCAGAGACCACUGGGGCCUGCUUGCUGCUCGGUGGAGCCGAUGUCUUCAAGGCCGGGCUAAUGUCUCACCGGCCUCUCGGUUCCUUCCAGCUCCACUGACAGAAAGAAAGCAGAUUAGAUUACCGGGCGAGGCUGGAGGGCUGGGUGUGACAGGGCCCUCCAGAGAGCCUCGGGACAGAACCUCAGCAGAUGGUGGCAGCUGAAGACACAGGAAUCUCAUCAAAUAACCAGGAAAGAUUAACUACUGGAGAAGAGAAAAGACUGGGAAUCAUCACCAUGCCAGACAGACUUUUCACCUAUUCGUCUGAGGACAGCUCCAAGAGAUGACCUGGGAGACUUUACCUGCAUAAGAAGACAACCUUUGUUCACAGCGUAGUUCUGCCCCUCACCCUCCUGCCACCUGCCCCAGAACUCAGAGGAACUUUGUCCCAGGCUAUUAUCUAUUCUUUGGGCUCACUCAUUUUCCUUAGAAAUCAUUUACUACCCCUCUAAAAUUUCCUACAGUCCCCCACUUCCCUGUCUCCUAUGAAGAGGAUAUAUAAGCCUCAACCAUCUGGCCCUUCUUUGAGUCUCCUAUUUGUAGGACUCCCAUGGCCAUAUGCACCUUAAUAAAUGUGUAAGCCAU